This 433-nucleotide ribosomal RNA is filed under the name uncultured bacterium. RNAcentral describes it as "partial 16S ribosomal RNA". It matches the Rfam family "Bacterial small subunit ribosomal RNA", at positions 29 to 507 of the family's 1533-position model. The record is from RNAcentral.
AACGAACGCUGGCGGCAUGCCUAACACAUGCAAGUCGAACGAGACCUUCGGGUCUAGUGGCGCUCGGGUGCGUAACGCGUGGGAACCUGCCCUUAGGUUCGGAAUAACUCCACGAAAGGGGUGCUAAUACCGGAUAAUGUCUUCGGACCAAAGAUUUAUCGCCCUUGGAUGGGCCCGCGUUGGAUUAGCUAGUUGGUAGGGUAAAAGCUUACCAAGGCGACGAUCCAUAGAUGGUCUGAGAGGAUGAUCAGCCACACUGGGAGUGGGACACGGCCCAGACUCUUACGGGAGGCAGCAGUGGGUAAUAUUGGACAAUGGACGAAAGCCUGAUCCAGCAAUGCCGGGUGAGUGAUGAAGGUCUUAGAGUUGUAAAGCUCUUUUAACCGGGAUGAUAAUGACAGUACCGGGAGAAUAAGCCCCGGCUAACUACGUG